RNAcentral lists this ribosomal RNA (493 nucleotides) under uncultured bacterium. Its description in RNAcentral is "bacterial SSU rRNA". It matches the Rfam family "Bacterial small subunit ribosomal RNA", at positions 38 to 507 of the family's 1533-position model. The record is from RNAcentral.
GGCGGCGUGCCUAACACAUGCAAGUCGUACGAGAAAGUUGGCUUCGGCCGAUGAGUAAAGUGGCGCACGGGUGAGUAAUGCGUGGAUAAUCUGCCCUUUAGUUGGGAAUAACGUACCGAAAGGUGCGCUAAUACCUGAUAAUACUGCAUAACUACUGUUGUGUAGUCAAAGAAGGCCUCUGUUUACAAGCUUUUGCUGAAGGAUGAGUCCGCGUACCAUUAGCUGGUUGGUGGGGUAAUGGCCUACCAAGGCUACGAUGGUUAGCUGGUCUGAGAGGAUGAUCAGCCACACUGGAACUGAGACACGGUCCAGACUCCUACGGGAGGCAGCAGUGAGGAAUAUUGCGCAAUGGGGGCAACCCUGACGCAGCAACGCCGCGUGAGUGAGGAAGGUUUUCGGACCGUAAAGCUCUGUCGAGCGGGAAGAAAUGUAUCGUGGCUAAUAUCCAUGAUAUUUGACGGUACCGCUAAAGGAAGCACCGGCUAACUCCGUG